Molecule: ribosomal RNA, 221 nt
Filed under: uncultured marine eukaryote
Lineage: Eukaryota
Description: partial 18S ribosomal RNA
Rfam family: Eukaryotic small subunit ribosomal RNA (bases 59-221)
Source: RNAcentral
UUACUGACUGGUUUGCCCUUCUUCGCAAAGACUGCGUGUGCUCUUGAGUGAGUGUGCGUAGGAUUUACGACGUUUACUUUGAGAAAAUUAGAGUGUUCAAAGCAGGCUAUUGCUUGAAUACAUGAGCAUGGAAUAAUGGAAUAGGACUUUGGUCCCAUUCUGUUGGUUUCUAGGGCCGAAGUAAUGAUUAAGAGGGACAAUUGGGGGCAUCCGUAUUUCGU